This 109-nucleotide ribosomal RNA is filed under the name Monodelphis domestica (gray short-tailed opossum). Lineage: Eukaryota; Metazoa; Chordata; Mammalia; Didelphimorphia; Didelphidae. The record is from RNAcentral.
GUCUGUAGGCAUACCACCUUGAACUUGCCUGAUUACAGAAGCUAAGCAGGAUUGGGCCUGUUUAGCACUUAGUGGAGACAUUAUCUGGUAAUAACAGGUGCUGUAGGCU